This 656-nucleotide long non-coding RNA is filed under the name Homo sapiens (human). RNAcentral's name for it is "non-protein coding lnc-SHARPIN-4:4". The record is from RNAcentral. Lineage: Eukaryota; Metazoa; Chordata; Mammalia; Primates; Hominidae.
AGGCCGCGUCCGCCUUCAGUUGUGGCCGGUGCUUCGCCCCCUGACCCUUCGCCCCCAAAGACCAGCUCUAACGUUAAUUUGGAGUGGCCCCUGGAGUCAGUUUCCUACACCAUCCGAGGCCCCACCCAGCACGAGCUACAGCCUCCACCAGGAGGGCCUGGAACCCUCAGCCUGCACUUCCUCAACCCUCAGGAAGCUCAGCGGUGGGCAGUCCUAGUCCGAGGUGCCACCGUGGAAGGACAGAAUGGUCAGUGCCCUGUAAUGGAUACAAUUACAAUUUGGAAUAGCCUUGGCCCCCCAGUCCUGGUUGGGGAAGUUGGAUCCACCUUCCCCACUGCUGGAUGUCUGGGAAGGCUUCCAGGAGGGAGUAGGUGGAGCCUGGAGUAGCUUGGAGUACUUGGAGUGGCUGCUGGAGUCAGUCUCCUACACCAUCUGAGGCCCCAGCCAGCACAAGUUGCAGCCUCCACCAGGAAGCCCUGGAACCUCAGCCUGCACUUCCUUAACCCUCAGGAAGGAUGAGAGGCAAGCAUGAAGAGGCAGAGCAGGCAGGGUCAGGACCUGUGUGAGAAGACAUCAUCCCAAGAGCAGCAGGAGAGUGACAGGAGUGGGAGAGUGACAGACUCAGAUACCUCCUGCUUAAGACAGAGUUCUGCAGU